GAAGUCUGCCAGACCGUCGCUGGCGCAUGGCCCGCAAGGGCGCGCUGGAGGACCGUCCGGACUGCGCAGGGCAGCGUAGGAGGUAACACCUCGCCACCGCGAGGUGCGGAUCAGAGCCACAGAGACGAGCCGGUUCCGACCGGGGUGAAACGCGGCAAUCUCUACGCGCAGCAACUCCAAGUAGGCCAGCCCGGGGGCACCCCCGACCCGUGGCCCGCGGGCCGUGCUGGCGGGUAGGUGGCAUCGAGCCGUUUGGGAGACCAGCGGCCCAGAGGAAUGGCGGUCACAAGGGGCUCUCGGGCCCCGAGCACAGCAUCCGGCGUACCGGCAGACUUCACUU
Molecule: RNase P RNA, 340 nt
Filed under: Tepidimonas sp.
Lineage: Bacteria; Pseudomonadati; Pseudomonadota; Betaproteobacteria; Burkholderiales
Description: RNase P RNA component class A
Rfam family: Bacterial RNase P class A
About the family: Ribonuclease P (RNase P) is a ubiquitous endoribonuclease, found in archaea, bacteria and eukarya as well as chloroplasts and mitochondria.
Source: RNAcentral